GCAGACGAUCGCCGUCAAAUAGAUGUUUGUAGUUUGCAGAAUGGAAAGAACUUUGCAGCGAAAAUUAUUUUCACUUCUAUGUGAAAAUCUAACCAGAAAACUCCCCUGUCAAUUACAAGAUACAGUAUGCCAUUCCAGCUUUGAUGAAAUAAAGUAAUGGUUUGAUUUGGAGAGCUUUAUUAUUAUAGACAGGGAUGAUGACCUGCAGUAGAAAGUUCCUUAUAACUCAUCAUGGCCAUUACGGAAGAUCUGAUUAACAUUUGUUUAGAAAGCCACCAAAUAUGUCCAUGAAAAGUAGCAAAAAGACAGCAAUUAUACAUUAUGUACAUAUAUGUACUAAGCAGAAGCAUUGUUGACUGUUUCAAGACCAAAUGAAUUGGAAUUUAGUGUUUUGAUGCUGAGAGACAGAGGAAAAUUAACUGGAAAAUUUAGUUUCU
Mytilus californianus (California mussel) is the source of this 437-nucleotide long non-coding RNA. RefSeq lists it as uncharacterized. NCBI's taxonomy places the organism in Eukaryota, Metazoa, Mollusca, Bivalvia, Mytilida, Mytilidae. The transcript has 3 exons. The record is from RefSeq and is a predicted model, not a curated record.